AGGAACACGGCGAUGCUGUCGUAGCAGUCCGACACAUAGGUGGACAUGCUCUUCUGCAGGGGAAAGAAAAGAGGAAGAGAGGGAAAGCAAUGCUUUGGUGAAAAAGUCUUCUCGUACCAGGAACAAGCUGAGUGUCUUUCCCAUGACGCUGUUGAAGAGGUCCAGCCCAGAAUUUCCAGCCACCAUGAAGAAGUCAGACAGGAAGAGGAACUCUCGACAGCCGUUGUCCAAGAGGGCGUAGUGCUGACUGCGGAACAGCGUCUCAUAGGGAUACUGAGAGGGGACGAAGAAGGCUGGUUGGGUGACUUGAUAAUCUACAUCAAUGUUAAUAUUAGAACUGGAGUCCACAUGCUUUUCUGCGAAGCUUUGCGUUUAACUGUCAAUCUGUGGUCCGAGUUCUGCCGUUGUGCAUUCCUUUAAGAUGUGUGUGUGUGGUGACAAGACGGUAGUGAGAGAAGCACAGGUGUGUUGGAGCAGUACAGCUUAACGAUAUCUAGACGUUUAGGGUUGGCUUUGUGUCUUCACCUCACAACCUUAUACUCUAUGCAUGUUCAAAUGAUUUCAGAGUAGUGCUAAACAUCUUAUAAUUAAAAGGUAGGUUCAUUUCAUUCAAAAUGUCUGUUACUCUCGAGCAGUAGUACGUGGCAUAGUUUGGAGGGGUUGUACAGCGCUGCCAGUGGUCUCACCCUGCAGUCCCCUCUCUGGGCAGUGUGGGGGAUGAGGAUGGGCCCCUCCAGCUCGGCAGGGCUCAGCACGGCCCCCCGCUGGCCCAGGGUGAAGAUGGUGUUCCUGCUCUUCAGGGAGGGCUUGGAGAAGAAACCUUUCUUGGCCGUGUCUUCCACUCCCAUCAAGUCAUCUUUGUCUGCCACCUCUUCAUACUGUCAACAGAGAAAGAGGUUACGCGAACAGUAUUAAAAUAGUAUCAGCUAAUUUGACUGAUAUGACACUCGACACUGUUGAAAAUGUACCAUCAAACAUAACAUAGCCCUUGCUGUACAUUAUAGCAGCAAGCUGUUCCAGAACAAUUCACAGUGAUAACCUAAAUUAAGGUACUGUAUAUUGAGCCUAUAAACCAAGAGAAGGCAUUUUAACUCCUUCACUCCCUUAGCACCUGUGCCAUUUGCUCACCUGUACUUUGAGGAGCCUGCCGCUGUACGACUUGAAGUAACUGUAGUAGAUCUUACUCAUGGUGUCCACAUAUUCAUCCCUGAUCUCCUUGGCCACUGUCCUUUCGUUUGCCAAGAGGAACUGAUAGAAAAACCUAAAGUACGAAGAAACACUUACGAUUGUGGUAGAUACAUGACUGUGGCGGUGCUUUUUGGUCUGUUUGAAGGUAUCGAAGCCCGUUAUAAGCCUAUAUUUACCUGUACUUGAGGAGGGUGUUCUGGGGGAUUUGAUAGUUGGUCAUGGGCUUUCUGAAGGAAUAAAUCUUCUGCAGGAUAAAUUCUCGGAUCUUUGUGACAGCCUGUGGAACAAAAUAAAAGGCAGUUUUAUACACAA
Long non-coding RNA from Oncorhynchus nerka (sockeye salmon), 1500 nucleotides. RefSeq lists it as uncharacterized. The transcript is spliced from 2 exons. The record is from RefSeq and is a predicted model, not a curated record. Lineage: Eukaryota; Metazoa; Chordata; Actinopteri; Salmoniformes; Salmonidae.